RNAcentral lists this ribosomal RNA (253 nucleotides) under uncultured bacterium. RNAcentral's name for it is "partial 16S ribosomal RNA". It matches the Rfam family "Bacterial small subunit ribosomal RNA", at positions 524 to 776 of the family's 1533-position model. The record is from RNAcentral.
UACGUAGGGUGCAAGCGUUGUCCGGAAUUAUUGGGCGUAAAGAGCUCGUAGGCGGUUUGUCGCGUCUGCUGUGAAAACUCGAGGCUCAACCUCGGGCGUGCAGUGGGUACGGGCAGACUAGAGUGCGGUAGGGGAGAUUGGAAUUCCUGGUGUAGCGGUGGAAUGCGCAGAUAUCAGGAGGAACACCAAUGGCGAAGGCAGAUCUCUGGGCCGAAACUGACGCUGAGGAGCGAAAGCUAGGGGAGCGAACGGG